Molecule: ribosomal RNA, 492 nt
Filed under: uncultured bacterium
Lineage: Bacteria
Description: partial 16S ribosomal RNA
Rfam family: Bacterial small subunit ribosomal RNA
Source: RNAcentral
AGUGAACGCUGGCGGUAGGCCUAACACAUGCAAGUCGAACGGCAGCACAGUAAGAGCUUGCUCUUACGGGUGGCGAGUGGCGGACGGGUGAGGAAUACAUCGGAAUCUACUUUUUCGUGGGGGAUAACGUAGGGAAACUUACUCUAAUACCGCAUACGACCUACGGGUGAAAGCAUGGGAUCUUCUGACCUUGCGCGAUUGAAUUAGCCGAUGUGGGAUUAGCUAGUUGGCGGGGUAAAGGCCCACCAAGGCGACGAUCCGUAGCUGGUCUGAGAGGAUGAUCAGCCACACUGGAACUGAGACACGGUCAAGAGUACUACGGGAGGGAGCAGUGGGGAAUAUUGGACAAAGGGGGCAAGCAUGAUACAGCCAUACCGCGUGGGUGAAGAAGGCCUUCGGGUUGUAAAGCCGUUUUGUUGGGAAAGAAAAGCAGCAGGUUAAUACGCAGCUGUUCUGACGGUAACCAAAGAAUAAGCACCGGCUAACUUCGUG